GUCGAGGGGCAUCGGGAGGAAAGCUUGCUUUCCUUGCCGGCGACCGGCGCACGGGUGAGUAACACGUAUGCAACCUGCCCUCUUCAGGGGGACAACCUUCCGAAAGGGAGGCUAAUCCCGCGUAUAUCGGUUUCGGGCAUCCGUUAUCGAGGAAAGAUUCAUCGGAAGAGGAUGGGCAUGCGGCGCAUUAGCUAGACGGCGGGGUAACGGCCCACCGUGGCGACGAUGCGUAGGGGUUCUGAGAGGAAGGUCCCCCACACUGGUACUGAGACACGGACCAGACUCCUACGGGAGGCAGCAGUGAGGAAUAUUGGUCAAUGGGAGAGAUCCUGAACCAGCCAAGCCGCGUGAGGGAAGACGGCCCCAUGGGUUGUAAACCUCUUUUGUCGGAGAACAAAACCCGGGACGUGUCCCGGACUGCGUGUAUCCGAAGAAAAAGCAUCGGCUAACUCCGUGCCAGCAGCCGCGGUAAUACGGAGGAUGCGAGCGUUAUCCGGAUUUAUUGGGUUUAAAGGGUGCGCAGGCGGAAGAUCAAGUCAGCGGUAAAAUUGAGAGGCUCAACCUCUUCGAGCCGUUGAAACUGGUUUUCUUGAGUGAGCGAGAAGUAUGCGGAAUGCGUGGUGUAGCGGUGAAAUGCAUAGAUAUCACGCAGAACUCCGAUUGCGAAGGCAGCAUACCGGCGCUCAACUGACGCUCAUGCACGAAAGUGUGGGUAUCGAACAGGAUUAGAUACCCUGGUAGUCCACACAGUAAACGAUGAAUACUAAUUGUUCGGGGAGAAUGAUCCCUGAGUGAUACAGCGAAAGCGUUAAGUAUUCCACCUGGGGAGUACG
Molecule: ribosomal RNA, 833 nt
Filed under: uncultured bacterium
Lineage: Bacteria
Description: bacterial SSU rRNA
Rfam family: Bacterial small subunit ribosomal RNA
Source: RNAcentral